GACGAACGCUGGCGGCGUGCCUAAUACAUGCAAGUUGAGCGCUGAAGGUUGGUACUUGUACCAACUGGAUGAGCAGCGAACGGGUGAGUAACGCGUGGGGAAUCUGCCUUUGAGCGGGGGACAACAUUUGGAAACGAAUGCUAAUACCGCAUAAAAACUUUAAACACAAGUUUUAAGUUUGAAAGAUGCAAUUGCAUCACUCAAAGAUGAUCCCGCGUUGUAUUAGCUAGUUGGUGAGGUAAAGGCUCACCAAGGCGAUGAUACAUAGCCGACCUGAGAGGGUGAUCGGCCACAUUGGGACUGAGACACGGCCCAAACUCCUACGGGAGGCAGCAGUAGGGAAUCUUCGGCAAUGGACGAAAGUCUGACCGAGCAACGCCGCGUGAGUGAAGAAGGUUUUCGGAUCGUAAAACUCUGUUGGUAGAGAAGAACGUUGGUGAGAGUGGAAGCUCAUCAAGUGACGGUAACUACCCAGAAAGGGACGGCUAACUACGUG
Molecule: ribosomal RNA, 496 nt
Filed under: uncultured bacterium
Lineage: Bacteria
Description: partial 16S ribosomal RNA
Rfam family: Bacterial small subunit ribosomal RNA
Source: RNAcentral